This 716-nucleotide ribosomal RNA is filed under the name Epilachna deltoides. RNAcentral's name for it is "partial 16S ribosomal RNA". The stretch from base 380 to 538 matches the Rfam family "Bacterial large subunit ribosomal RNA", at positions 2473 to 2632 of the family's 2925-position model. Lineage: Eukaryota; Metazoa; Arthropoda; Insecta; Coleoptera; Coccinellidae. The record is from RNAcentral.
CUCUUUUUGANNNUAAUNUAAAGUNNGGCCUGCCCACUGANNNNNAAGGGCCGCAGUANNUUGACUGUGCAAAGGUAGCAUAAUCAUUAGUUUUUUAAUUGAAAGNUAGAAUGAAAGGUUUGAUGAAAAAAUUUNUGUUUCAACAUUAUUUUAGAAAACUUUAUUUUUAAGUUAAAAAGGUUAAAUAAUUUUUAAAGACGAGAAGACCCUAUANNGUUUAACUAAUUUUUUAAGAUUUAAUAAUUUGGAAUAAAUUAUUAGUUUUAUUUUUAAGUUUUGUUGGGGUGACAGAAAAAUUGAUUUAACUUUUUUUUUAUAAAUUCAAUAAUAAUUGAUUAUUUGAUCCAUUUAUAUGAUUAAAAGAAUAAAUUACCUUAGGGAUAACAGCGUAAUUUUUUUUAAGAGUUCUUAUUUAAAAAAGAGUUUGCGACCUCGAUGUUGGAUUAAAAUUUAUUUUUGGUGCAGAAGCUAAAAAAUUGGGUCUGUUCGACCUUUAAAAUUUUACAUGAUCUGAGUUUAAACCGGUGUAAGCCAGGUUGGUUUCUAUCUUAAUAAAAAAAAAAUAUUUUAGUACGAAAGGAUUAAAUAUUUUAUUUUUAAUAUUAAAUUGAAUAAAAAUUUUAUUUUGGCAGAAUAGUGCAAAGGAUUUAGAAUCUUUUAAUAUAAUUUUUAAUUAUAAAUAAAAAUUGAUUUAAUUUUAAUUUUAGUAAAUUUCU